GCUGGUUUGAAAAGCAAGGCCCGGGCGGGGGCCACUGCGCUGGCCGCGGUCCCGAGCCCCAGGGAAAGCCCCCCGGCCGCUCCCCUGAGACGCUCGAGAAAACGGGUCUGCGUGAGAGCCGCUCCACCCAGCCUGGGGCCAGAGCUUCCACGGCUCCUCAACACACCCUCACCACACGCCACACACCACGCACACAGCACACAGCACACACACACACCACACACACACCAUACACACACCAUACACAAAACACCAUACACACCACACACACACCACACACAAAACACCACACACACACACCACACACACACCAUACACAAAACACAUACAGCACACACCACACACAAAACACACCACACACAUACCAUACACACAUACACAAAACACCACACACACACACAAAAAACACACACACCACACACAAAACACCACACACACCAUACACCCCACAUACAGCACACACACCACACACAAAACACCACACACACACACACACUAUACACACAGCACACACAAAACACAUACAGCACACACCACACACAAAACACCACACACACACACACACACCAUACACACAUCAUACACAAAACACACGCAGCACACACCACACACAAAACACCACACACACACCACACACACACCAUACACAAAACACAUACAGCACACAGCACACAAAAAAGCCACACACACCACACAAACACACAGCACACACACAGCACACGGCACACGCAAAACACGACACACACACCACACACAAAACACCACACAUACCACACACCACACAUACAGCACACACACACCACACACACAACACAUACAGCACACAGCACACACAAAAUACCACAUAUACACACCACACACACACCAUACACAAAACACAUACAGCACACACCACACACAAAACACACCACACACAUACCAUACACACAUACACAAAACACCACACACACACACACAAAAACACACACACACCACACACACACACACACACUAUACACACAGCACACAUCAUACACAAAACACACACAGCACACAGCACACACAAAACACCACAUACACAAAACAC
Molecule: long non-coding RNA, 1066 nt
Filed under: Bos indicus x Bos taurus (hybrid cattle)
Lineage: Eukaryota; Metazoa; Chordata; Mammalia; Artiodactyla; Bovidae
Description: lncRNA (ENSBIXG00005020782.1)
Source: RNAcentral